RNAcentral lists this long non-coding RNA (459 nucleotides) under Brassica napus (rape). RNAcentral describes it as "long non-coding RNA (BNAP_LNC026385)". The record is from RNAcentral. Lineage: Eukaryota; Viridiplantae; Streptophyta; Magnoliopsida; Brassicales; Brassicaceae.
GAUUAACAUCUUGUUUAAUGUUAUCUACAUAAGAUAUGUUUAAUGUGAUUAGGAAUAUCAAAUCUCUAUAUAAGAAGAUGCUGAGUUGUAGCAUAAACUUAUGAGUUUACAGAUCGAUUGUGAUUGCUUAAGGUUUUGAGAUUAUUUUCCUUAGGAUUUAUAAAGAGAGGAAUUCUUUAUAUUGUUACACAAUCUUUGAGUUCAAUAAUUAGUAUCAAAACCAGGUUGACGAAAAAUCUGCAAAACAAAACCUAAAUACCAUUCGAGAUAUGAAUGGGAAGUAUGUGGUAGAGAUCAAAUCAGAAGAUCUUGGAAGUUCAGUUGUGAGAAAUGAGUGUGGUCUUUAGUUUGAAGGGGAAAUGUGAGAUAUCCAACUAAGUACUACAUUGAAAAAUUAGACAAAAAGUGUCUAAUGUUAUAAGAUAAACUUUGAAAUGAUCCUCCACUCCUUUACCAACU